Molecule: RNA transcript, 2928 nt
Organism: Rosa chinensis
Lineage: Eukaryota; Viridiplantae; Streptophyta; Magnoliopsida; Rosales; Rosaceae
Gene name: abscisic acid 8'-hydroxylase 2
Exons: 9
Source: RefSeq, a predicted model, not a curated record
UUGUGCUAAGUUCACAUCUUCCACCAAAUCAUCAAUCCCUCUCACACUUUCUCCUCAGCCUUCACCACCAUGCAACUUUUCUCAUCAUCACCUCCUUUCUGUGCAGCUCUGCACUCAGACUUUGGUCUCGUCCUGAUACCAAUCCUCGUGCUCUUGGGCUUGUUCGUCCUCCAAUGGCGGCACCCGAGAUUCGACAGGCGCCUUCCCCCUGGCUCAAUGGGUUGGCCUUAUUUCGGAGAGACUUUCGAGCUCUACACUGAAAACCCAAAUUCCUUCUUCACGGUCCGGCAAAAACGGUAUGGGAGUAUAUUCAAGACCCAUGUUUUGGGGUGUCCAUGUGUGAUGAUAACAAGUCCAGAAGCAGCAAAAAUGGUACUGGUGAGUCGGGCUCAUCUGUUUAAGCCGACUUACCCCAGAGGCAAAGAGAGGAUGAUAGGACCGGAGGCUAUAUUCUUUCACCAAGGAGCCUAUCACUCAAAGCUAAAGAAGCUGGUUCAGGCUUCACUUCUGCCCUCUGCAAUAAAAGGUUCAGUCUCAGAGAUUGAGCAAAUUGUUCUAAGCCUACUGCCCACAUGGAAGAACAACACCAUUAACACUUUGCAAGAGAUGAAGAGGUAUGCUUUUGAUGUGGCAAUGAUUUCAGUUUUGGGCAACAAAAGGGACAUUGAAGUGGAAGGGAUUAAACAUCUGUAUCAUUCCAUUGAGAAGGGCUAUAAUUCCAUGGCUCUUGAUCUACCUGGAACUCCCUUUCACAAAGCCAUGAAGGCAAGGAAGCUUCUGAAUAAGGCAUUGAGAGGACUGAUACAAAAGAGAAGGGAGAGUGGUGAUGCACAAAGUGGUGGAUUACUGCAAGAACUGUUGAGAGCAAAAGAUCAGAAACUUAAUCUGAACCUCAGUGAUUCUCAAAUUGCUGAUAAUAUCAUCGGGGUUAUCUUUGCUGCUCAUGAUACCACUGCUAGCGUUCUAACAUGGCUCCUGAAGUAUCUUCAUGACAAUGACGAUCUCCUAGAAUCUGUUACGAGGGAACAAGAAGGAAUUCAACGCAAAAUGUUGAAUGAGAAACGCGGGUUUACGUGGGAUGAUACUAGACGCAUGCCUUUGACUAAUCGGGUAAUUCAAGAGACUCUAAGAACAGCAAGUAUACUGUCAUUCACAUUCAGAGAGGCAGUGGAAGACGUAGAGUUUGAGGGUUACUUUAUCCCUAGAGGUUGGAAGGUGCUGCCUCUUUUCAGAAGCAUUCAUCACUGUGCAGAUUUCUUCCCUCAGCCUGAAAAGUUUGACCCUUCAAGAUUUGAGGUUCCACCUCGACCCAACACUUACAUGCCCUUUGGGAAUGGCGUGCAUUCCUGUCCAGGCAAUGAGCUGGCCAGGCUCGAGAUGCUGAUCCUCCUUCACCACCUCACAACUACUUACAGGUGGCACCUGAUGGGCGAUGACGAUGGGAUUCAGUAUGGCCCUUUCCCAGUUCCCAAACAGGGAUUACCCAUCAAAGUGACUCUGAAGAACAAGAAUAGGACCUGAUCUCAGGUUCUUGACGACCAUCCAAAAAACUUUUCCAAUGGGGACAAAAAGCAAGCUAGCAGACCCCAUUGAACCUCUAGCUUUUCCUCCUCUUCCAUCUGUGUAUUUUUUUUUUUUUUCUUAGCGAGUUUGUCGUUGGCAAUCGAUCCUAUGUCAAGUUCCUUAGUAGGGUAACCGUCUGUCAGUCAGUGUCAGUUUAAUGUAAAGUGCAGAAGAAUAAUCAAUGAAAUGCAAAUUUCAUUUCAUUAAGAGCAAAAACUGUGAAUGUGUGAAUGGCAGAGUUUUGUUCUCUUGGGUUUUUGAAGAUCAAGUCUGUGUGGCUUUGAUUGUGGAUGAAGUAUGGCUUUGAUUGUGGAUGAAGUAACUUUCAGCUAUCUGAGAUUUUUCUUCAACUUGGGGGUAGAAAUUGAAGAGUUGAGAGACAACCUAGGCCAACUGGGAGUUCUGUCUACAUAUGUAAACCUUAAUCAACACAAAUGACAAAUGAUGGAGUCACAAGGUAUCUGUGUGCAUGAACUUCAUGGAUAGAUAUUUUGGGUGUGCACACUAGAAUUCCACGUAGGGGAUUGUCUCAGCACAACAUUGUAGCCUACGUGGGUUACUAGACAUGUCCAGUUGAUCAGAAUGUUCCGGCCCAAAUGUUAUCUAUUUGAGGAAACUAGAGGUUGAGAGCAAGAAAAUGAUAGGCGGUGAUGUUCAAGCUAAUCGCGCUAGUCUUCUAGUGAUUCUGUCUAGGCUUGCGUGAAGGUUUUCCUCUGAUAAUGUUAAUCGAAUCCUAUACCAAGAAAGUUCCAAGUUGAAACACCAACAAUGUAUGACAGUUUUGGAUGGCAGAGAUGUGGAUAUGGAACAUUGGAAGAAGAUUCUUCUAUGACACUAACGGGUAUAAAGAAUGAGCGGGUUCACAUCAUUAUACAUAAUAAAAUGGUAUGAAUCCAUCACUAUUUUCUUCAUUCUCCCGUUUUUUUUUUUGGCUAGAUUCUUCAUGCUCUUGUUAAGUUAUAAUGAUAGUUACAACUAAUACUAGCAUGGCGGCGUGGAGGAUGAGGUUGGAACUCCGGGACCACAGAAUAAUUCCUCGUCCGAGAGAUGGUGGUUGUGCUGUGACAAAUGAAGUUACGACCUAUGGGAACCAGAAAUAAUUGUAAAGAACUUUAUAAGCACAAGGCUUCAUUCUGUAAUUCACAAUUGUUGGCAAAUUUCAUUCAGGUUUUGUUCUAGAUGCCAGCCGUAGUCUAGAUGGGAGACCUUGAAGUGAUACAGGUGGUGUCUGUAGCAGUGAUAACAAACGCUGUUGGUGAUGGCGCCAUGGCGAUAGUGACAAUGACAACAGUGGUAGAGUCUUCUUUACUUCAUUUUCGAAAACAUUACUAAUGUUCUUUUACUAUAAUCCAAAACUAUCCGAAA